Long non-coding RNA from Tupaia belangeri chinensis (Chinese tree shrew), 395 nucleotides. RefSeq lists it as uncharacterized. NCBI's taxonomy places the organism in Eukaryota, Metazoa, Chordata, Mammalia, Scandentia, Tupaiidae. The transcript has 6 exons. The record is from RefSeq and is a predicted model, not a curated record.
CAUGCAUAUCAGUCAAGACAAAGACCUUACUAUGAAGCUGUUAAUGAGAGAACUUUAGCAGAUAUAGAAUGAAAAGGAGGUUUCAAAGGCAGAGGAAAAAAUCAAGUUGACUACUGAAAAAAUACAUAAUUUAAAGAAAAGAGUUGGAGAAAAUGAAGAAGAAGAGCAGAGAAAAGAGACCACCUUUCUAAACCAGAAGGCUUUUCUUUCUUCUAUGCCCAGUUGGCCCUGACUUCACACAAACAUAUGGAGCAGAAAGAGAGACAGACACAGAAGAAAGAGAUACACUCACUAACACGGUUUUGCAACUACCUGCCCUCAGACUAAAUCAGACAGGACAUGGGCAUAUGUGUGUCUGGAGAGAAACUGGGAGAAGAAAAGGAAGAAUUCACCCC